This 73-nucleotide transfer RNA is filed under the name Vitis vinifera (wine grape). It matches the Rfam family "tRNA". Rfam says of the family: Transfer RNA (tRNA) molecules are approximately 80 nucleotides in length. Their secondary structure includes four short double-helical elements and three loops (D, anti-codon, and T loops). Further hydrogen bonds mediate the characteristic L-shaped molecular structure. tRNAs have two regions of fundamental functional importance: the anti-codon, which is responsible for specific mRNA codon recognition, and the 3' end, to which the tRNAs corresponding amino acid is attached (by aminoacyl-tRNA synthetases). tRNAs cope with the degeneracy of the genetic code in two manners: having more than one tRNA (with a specific anti-codon) for a particular amino acid; and 'wobble' base-pairing, i.e. permitting non-standard base-pairing at the 3rd anti-codon position. The record is from Rfam by way of RNAcentral. Lineage: Eukaryota; Viridiplantae; Streptophyta; Magnoliopsida; Vitales; Vitaceae.
GUUUGGGUGGUGUUGUUGGUUAUCACACUAGUCUCACACAAUAGAGGUCCCGGUUCAAACCUGAGCUCUGACA